This 498-nucleotide ribosomal RNA is filed under the name Salmonella enterica subsp. enterica serovar Panama. RNAcentral describes it as "partial 23S ribosomal RNA". It matches the Rfam family "Bacterial large subunit ribosomal RNA", at positions 673 to 1168 of the family's 2925-position model. The record is from RNAcentral. Lineage: Bacteria; Pseudomonadati; Pseudomonadota; Gammaproteobacteria; Enterobacterales; Enterobacteriaceae.
GAAACCGAGUCUUAACCGGGCGUUAAGUUGCAGGGUAUAGACCCGAAACCCGGUGAUCUAGCCAUGGGCAGGUUGAAGGUUGGGUAACACUAACUGGAGGACCGAACCGACUAAUGUUGAAAAAUUAGCGGAUGACCUGUGGCUGGGGGUGAAAGGCCAAUCAAACCGGGAGAUAGCUGGUUCUCCCCGAAAGCUAUUUAGGUAGCGCCUCGUGAAUUCAUCUCCGGGGGUAGAGCACUGUUUCGGCUAGGGGGCCAUCCCGGCUUACCAACCCGAUGCAAACUGCGAAUACCGGAGAAUGUUAUCACGGGAGACACACGGCGGGUGCUAACGUCCGUCGUGAAGAGGGAAACAACCCAGACCGCCAGCUAAGGUCCCAAAGUCAUGGUUAAGUGGGAAACGAUGUGGGAAGGCCCAGACAGCCAGGAUGUUGGCUUAGAAGCAGCCAUCAUUUAAAGAAAGCGUAAUAGCUCACUGGUCGAGUCGGCCUGCGCGGAA